This 678-nucleotide long non-coding RNA is filed under the name Phascolarctos cinereus (koala). RNAcentral's name for it is "lncRNA (ENSPCIG00000032501.1)". Lineage: Eukaryota; Metazoa; Chordata; Mammalia; Diprotodontia; Phascolarctidae. The record is from RNAcentral.
UCCAGUAGUAAACUCACAUUUCUUUAUUGCUUUAAGAUUUAUAAAGUUGGUAGUACAAAUAUUGUUGCCGUCUUGCAGAUGAAGAAACUGAGGAUCAGAGAGACAGUGUCUUGCCAUAUGGUCACAGCAUCUAAUGAAUGUCAAAACUAGGAUUUGAAUUCAAGUCUUUCUUGAUUCAGUCCAGUAUUCAUUCUACUGCUUCAUGCUGCCUUUCUGUGAUCUCUUGGGUAUGAUGAAGAAUGGGAUCUGUAAAAGAUCUGUAGAAUGAAGACAGCAAGUCAAAACAGAGAAUGACCAUAACUGGAGGAAGUAAAGAAUGAGGAAAUGGUCAAGAUUUGAGGGUAGGAGGAAACAAGCUCUGUAACCUAUAUUCAGGGGCUAAUUCCCUGUGGCUACUUUGGAGCAGAUGUAACCAAGAAAUCAAUAUAGUCAUUAGAUUAACCUGUGGCAGCCAUGAUGGGAGAGCAGUGCCUACCAUGGAGCGUGGGCUGAGAUGCAGCAGGUAGGGGUGAUGGAGCUCCAGAUGGACUCAGCACUUGAGGCUUGCCCAUGUGGCAGAAUACCUAUGGCUUUAGGACAGGAUCUCAGGAGCCAAAGGACAUUCAAGUGUGUAGGUGCAACUUUUAUAUGCAAAAAAACUAGCAUUUCAUAAGAACUUUAGAAAAAGAUGGAUGUGUG